This is a long non-coding RNA of Xyrauchen texanus (razorback sucker), 694 nucleotides long. RefSeq lists it as uncharacterized. Lineage: Eukaryota; Metazoa; Chordata; Actinopteri; Cypriniformes; Catostomidae. The record is from RefSeq and is a predicted model, not a curated record. The transcript has 3 exons.
CACUUGAGUGUUUUUGUAUCAGAGAGGAGACAGGGUUGCAGUUAGAGGAUAUUGUGGUGACAUUGUCUCCAGUCCAUACCUGUCCUUCGGCAUAGAGACGGACAACAAAGAGCUGCUGAAGAAAGAGAAUAAUCAACAUGUAAAGACAGUCCCAUAACAGCAGAGAGGACACAAACUAUUCAAACAGCUUCUCAAACUCACACAGAACUUGAGCAAGAGCCAACAGUCACCACAUCCGCUUGAUUUGAUGAAAGUGAACGGAAAGUGUUUCUGUCUCCAGAUUCUCUCACAAAACUCCCUCUUAUAAGCAAAUAGGAACUUGUUUAACACAAUCUUCUGUUCAUGCAGGUAAAGUAUCAAACAGGUUUGUCCAUCAAAUACAGUAGAUAUCAUACAGAAUCUGUGAUAUUGAAUAUAAUAUAAAAGUGAGCAGAUGUCUCUGUUGAGAACUGUGUAAGUAAAGGUGUGAAUCUCACACAUCCUGCCCUGUUCACAUUUCACCCCAAAACCAAAUGCAAAUAAAAAAGUAAAAAUAAGAAUUCAUAUUUUGCAUAUAGAAAAUGCAGUGUUCUAUUAGAACCCUUUAUGAUAUUUAUAUAUUACACAUUGUGACAUCAAGCACAUUUUAUCACACAAUGGCCAUGGCUAUAAUAUGAAAUACAGAGUAUCAUUCUCUUAACGGUUAUGCAUCUGG